AGCUUUCAAAUGGACAAGGUAGAGGUAACAAUAAGAAUUACAAAGGAGGAAAAAAAUUACCAUUAAGUGUUUGUCUCUGCUUUCUUUUUAUUGGCCUGUAGAACACAUUUGGAAUAUUGGGUUCACUGGGGGUCGCAGAGGCGGGUUCCCUGGACACAGAGUUGGAGUCAUUGGGGGUCGCAGAGGCGGGUUCCCUGGACACAGAGUUGGAGUCAUUGGGGGUUGCAGAGGCGGGUUCCCUGGACACAGAGGUGGAGUCAUUGGGGGUCGCAGAGGCGGGUUCACUGGACACAGAGGUGGAGUCAUUGGGGGUCGCAGAGGCGGGUUCCCUGGACACAGAGGUGGAGUCAUUGGGGGUCGCAGAGGCGGGUUCACUGGUGGCAGAGGUGGAGUUGCUCCCUGUGGAGGAUUAGGGAAAAGAACAGUCUUUAGUCAACAUGUUUAGUCUACAUGUAUGUAUGUAUGCAUGCAUGUAUGUAUGUAUGUAUGCGUGUCUAUAGACACACAGAGUGGCUGAACCAGCUAAUUAAGAUCUUCAGGAGUACUU
Cyprinus carpio carpio is the source of this 547-nucleotide long non-coding RNA. The record is from Ensembl. NCBI's taxonomy places the organism in Eukaryota, Metazoa, Chordata, Actinopteri, Cypriniformes, Cyprinidae.